This 481-nucleotide ribosomal RNA is filed under the name uncultured Saprospiraceae bacterium. RNAcentral describes it as "bacterial SSU rRNA". It matches the Rfam family "Bacterial small subunit ribosomal RNA", at positions 28 to 505 of the family's 1533-position model. Lineage: Bacteria; Pseudomonadati; Bacteroidota; Saprospiria; Saprospirales; Saprospiraceae. The record is from RNAcentral.
GAUGAACGCUAGCGGGAGGCUUAAUACAUGCAAGUCGAACGGUAACAGCGGACUUCGGUCUGGCUGACGAGUGGCGCACGGGUGAGUAACGCGUACACGACCUACCUAUAAGAGGGGGAUAGGCUUUGGAAACGAAGAUUAAUACCCCAUAGAAUUAACUGUAUUAGAAGUGGUUAAUUAAAGCUCCGGCGCUUAUAGAUGGGUGUGCGUUCCAUUAGCUAGUUGGUAAGGUAACGGCUUACCAAGGCGACGAUGGGUAGGGGGCGUGAGAGCGUGAUCCCCCACACGGGUACUGAGACACGGACCCGACUCCUACGGGAGGCAGCAGUAAGGAAUAUUGGACAAUGGGCGCAAGCCUGAUCCAGCCAUCCCGCGUGCAGGAUGACGGCCCUAUGGGUUGUAAACUGCUUUUGUUAGGGAAGAAUCGCACCGACGUGUCGGUGUUUGACGGUACCUAAAGAAUAAGCACCGGCUAACUCCG